AAGAAAGCAAAAGGGCAUUCGGUGGAUGCCUUGGCUCUGGUAGGCGAAGAAGGACGCGAUAAGCUGCGAAAAGCCGCGGGGAGGUGCAAAUGACCAUUGAUCCGCGGGUCUCCGAAUGGGGCAACCCAGCACGUUAGGUGUUAUACUGCAAGGCAGUAGGCGAACGCAGGGAACUGAAACAUCUCAAUACCUGCAGGAAGAGAAAACAAAAGUGAUUCCGCGAGUAGUGGCGAGCGAAAGCGGAUUAGCCCAAACCGUCGGCGUUCAGGCGCCGCCGGGGUAGUAGGGCCGCGACACGAGUGUGACAAAAGAACUGGAAGCGUCUGGAAAGUCGCUCCGAAGAGGGUGAGAGGCCCGUACAGGCAAAGUUGUCACAUUCCAGCGGUACCCUGAGUAGCGCGGAGCACGUGGAAUUCCGUGUGAACCAGCCGGGACCAUCCGGUAAGGCUAAAUACUCACCAGAGACCGAUAGCGAACGAGUACCGUGAGGGAAAGGUGAAAAGAACCCCGAACAGGGGAGUGAAAAAGAACCUGAAACCGAGUGCCUACAAGCGGUCGGAGCCUCUUAGGAGGUGACGGCGUGCCUUUUGCAUAAUGAACCUACGAGUUAUCUUCUCCGGCGAGGUUAAGCGUCUAAGGCGCGGAGCCGAAGCGAAAGCGAGUCUGAAGAGGGCGCGUUAGUCGGAGGGGAUAGACGCGAAACCAAGUGAUCUACCCUUGACCAGGCUGAAGUUUGGGUAACACCAAAUGGAGGGCCGAACUGAUAAGCGUUGAAAAGCUUCCGGAUGAGUUGAGGGUAGGGGUGAAAGGCUAAUCAAACUUGGAGAUAGCUCGUACUCCCCGAAAUGCAUUUAGGUGCAGCCUCGUAUGUUUCUUGCGUGAGGUAGAGCGACUGAUUGGAUGCGAGGGCUUCACCGCCUAUCAAGUCCUGAUAAACUCCGAAUGCGCGCAAGUUAAGUACGGGAGUGAGGGCGCGGGUGCUAAGGUCCGUGUCCGAGAGGAGAACAAUCCAGACCAGCAGCUAAGGUCCCGAAAUGUGUGUUAAGUUGAACUAACGAAGUCGAACUGCAUAGACAGCUAGGAUGUUGGCUUGGAAGCAGCCAUUCAUUUAAAGAGUGCGUAACAGCUCACUAGUCGAGCGGUUUGGCGUGGAUAAUAAUCGGGCAUAAACACACUACCGAAGCUCUGGAAUAUAUAAUAUUGGUAGGGGAGCAUUCCAUGUGCGUUGAAUGUGCGGCGGCGAGCCGUGCUGGAGCGCAUGGAAAAGCAAAUGUAGGUAUAAGUAACGAUAAGGAGGGCGAGAAACCCUCCCGCCGAAAGACUAAGGGUUCCUGAUCAACGCUAAUCGGAUCAGGGUUAGUCGGGUCCUAAGACUAAGCCGAACGGCGAGGCCGAUGGAAGAGCGGGUUAAUAUUCCCGCACCGGUGCUGGAGCGAAGUGGGGACGGAGGAGUGAAAGUCCUGCCGGCUGACGGAAUAGCCGGUUUAAGGGUGUAGGAGUUGAUCGAGGCAGGCAAAUCCACCUUGAGAUCCGAACCUGAAAGUACGGAGAGCCCACGCGGCAAUCCGAUAUGGACGUAAUCAUACUCCCAAGAAAAUCCGCUAAGCAUAUCCAGUCACCGCCCGUACCACAAACCGACACAGGUGGUCGAGUAUAGAGUACAUAGGCGAUCGAGUGAUUCACGGUUAAGGAACUAGGCAAAUUAGACCCGUAACUUCGGGAAAAGGGUCCCCUACUCCGCGAGGAGAGGGCGCAGAGCAAAGGUCCAGGCGACUGUUUAACAAAAACAUAGGGCUAUGCGAAAUCGAAAGAUGAAGUAUAUGGCCUGACACCUGCCCGGUGCUGGAAGGUUAAGAGGAGAGGUCAGCGCAAGCGAAGCCUUGAAUUGAAGCCCCAGUAAACGGCGGCCGUAACUAUAACGGUCCUAAGGUAGCGAAAUUCCUUGUCGGGUAAGUUCCGACCUGCACGAAUGGUGUAACGUGAAAUUGUAGUAUCGGUGAAGAUGCCGAUUACCCGCAACGGGACGAAAAGACCCCGUGAACCUUUACUGCAGCUUUGCAUUGCGUUUGGGCAACCGAUGUGUAGGAUAGGCCGGAGGCUAUGAAGCGGGCACGCCAGUGUUCGUGGAGCCGACGUUGAAAUACGGCCCUUCGGUUGUUUGAGCGCUAACCCGCAGGAGCGGGGACAUUGCAUGGUGGGUAGUUUGACUGGGGUGGUCGCCUCCAAAAGCGUAACGGAGGCUUCCAAAGGUACCCUCAGGCCGAUUGGUAACCGGCCGCAGAGUGUAAUGGCACAAGGGUGCUUGACUGCGAGGCUGACAAGCCGAACAGGUGCGAAAGCAGGGCAUAGUGAUCCGGUGGUUCCGAAUGGAAGGGCCAUCGCUCAAAGGAUAAAAGGUACUCCGGGGAUAACAGGCUGAUCGCCCCCAAGAGCUCAUAUCGACGGGGCGGUUUGGCACCUCGAUGUCGGCUCGUCACAUCCUGGGGCUGGAGAAGGUUCCAAGGGUUGGGCUGUUCGCCCAUUAAAGUGGCACGCGAGCUGGGUUCAGAACGUCGUGAGACAGUUCGGUCUCUAUCUGUUGUGGGCGUUGAGAUUUGAGGGGAUCCGACACUAGUACGAGAGGACCGUGUUGGACGUACCGCUGGUAUGCCGGUUGUUUCGCCAGGAGCACUGCCGGGUAGCUAAGUACGGGUAGGAUAAGUGCUGAAAGCAUCUAAGCACGAAGCCAACCCCAAGAUAAGAUCUCGUUUGAGGGCCGUCGAAGACGACGACGUUGAUAGGCCGCAGGUGUAAAGUCAGAGAUGGCAAAGCCGAGCGGUACUAAUAGCCCGAGCUUUCUUUUG
RNAcentral lists this ribosomal RNA (2843 nucleotides) under uncultured Bacteroidales bacterium. RNAcentral's name for it is "bacterial LSU rRNA". It matches the Rfam family "Bacterial large subunit ribosomal RNA". The record is from RNAcentral. Lineage: Bacteria; Pseudomonadati; Bacteroidota; Bacteroidia; Bacteroidales.